This is a long non-coding RNA of Anopheles arabiensis, 1566 nucleotides long. RefSeq lists it as uncharacterized. The record is from RefSeq and is a predicted model, not a curated record. NCBI's taxonomy places the organism in Eukaryota, Metazoa, Arthropoda, Insecta, Diptera, Culicidae. The transcript has 3 exons.
UUAUUGAACUGUUACAUCUUAAUUAGGCCAUACGGCCCGUUGAAGAUUAAAUAAAUAAUAAUAAUAACACGAACACAGUAGAGACCUCGCGAGAAUGGGUUAUAAAGCACCCGAGUUAAAAUAUACCCUAAAUGCGAACUGCCUGAUGUUCGAGCAUUGCGUCGUAAUUCCGGCUUCCCUGCGCAAAGCCAUAAUGAACGAUUUACAUGCAGCUCACAUUGGAAUCGUCAAAAUGAAAGGGUUGGCACGAUCAUACGUCUAUUGGCCAGGAAUUGAUUCUGAAAUCGAGCAAACAGCUAAAUCCUGCACAGAAUGUGCAUGACAAGCCACAAGUCCACCAAAAUUCAACAAACACCAUUGGGAAUACCCUAACGCACCUUGGGAACGCAUACAUAUCGACUAUGCAGGUCCCGUGGCAGGCGCUAUGCUAUUAGCAGUUGUGGAUGCAUUCAGCAAAUGGUUCGAGGUAAAGACUGACGUCCGUCUUCUCCAACUUCCUUUACUUUCCGGUUUCACCCGGCCUGUCUUGCGCUUGAUGCUCUUUCGCCCUUUCAAGCAAAUUGCUUGAUUAAUUAAUUAAAUAUGUUCUUGCAAGGUAACCACAUCAACUACAACAAACUGGAUGGUUUACUGGAUGAACUAUUUGCAGCUUAUAACACAAGGGUCCACAAUUUGCAUCAGCCGAUUUCACGUCUUACUUCAAAAACGCAGGUCAAGUCCGCCACCAAAGUUGUUCUUAGGUCGAAACAUUCGCACACGCAUUGAUCUUGUGCGACCACAAGAUAUCAACACACGGAUGCAUCAGAAGCAACAAUCCACAUUCGAACCGACUUUCCGUACAUUCUCAGUUCGACAGAAAGUGUACUGUCUUUCUGGAAACCCUCGAACGGACAAAUGGAUUGUAGGAGUCAUCGACGCCUGCUUAGGUGAUCUUCAUUAUCAAAUCAGAUCUAACGGAAAGAUGCUUAAGCGACAUGUCGACCAGAUUCGAAGCUGCCAAGGCAACGUCAGCUUCGAAGAGACCGAUGAAGACGUACCUCGUCGACUGCACUUCUAUGCGAACACUGAGACGCAGCAACCACCAAUCAAUAAUGAAGCCAACGAAACAACAACGUCUUCAGAUGAGUCCAUUUCAUCAGAUAUUGUGUUUGGAACACCUAUGAGCAGCCCGCAACAUUUAACCUCAUCGUCAAGCGAAGACUCACCACCAGUAGCCCGCAGGUCCCAAAGACAACGUCGCCCUCCUCUACGCUACUCGCCAUCCUAGAGUGAACCAGGAUCUUCAUACAAGAGGGAGGAAAUGUUGUAUAUGGAACACCCUAUGUAUGAACGGUGAUGAUUGUCAUCGCUCCUGACGUGACGCAACCUGGAUGUCGUCCGGAUGCACCCCGACCUGGCAUCAACUAAAAGAGCUCUAGAUGAAUCAGCAUCGUUGGCUCGUGAACUUCCACUCUUUUUCAUUCUCUCCAUUUUUACAUGUUUUUCAAUAAAGUGAAUUCAAUACGUAACACAAAGGGCUUUGAGGAAAAUUUGAAAGGAUUUCCUCCUAGAUGCUUCUCAUCUUAA